Molecule: ribosomal RNA, 458 nt
Filed under: Typhlatya iliffei
Lineage: Eukaryota; Metazoa; Arthropoda; Malacostraca; Decapoda; Atyidae
Description: partial 16S ribosomal RNA
Rfam family: Bacterial large subunit ribosomal RNA
Source: RNAcentral
GGCCUGCCCACUGAGUUAUUAAAGGGCCGCGGUAUUUGGACCGUGCUAAGGUAGCAUAAUCAAUAGUCUUUUAAUUGGAGUCUAGAAUGAAAGGUCGGAUGGAGUAUAAUUUGUCUGCGAGUAUAAAAGUUGAACUUUACUUUUAAGUGAAAAGGCUUAAAUUAGUUAGUGGGACGAUAAGACCCUGUGAAGCUUUAUAUUUGUUUAACUUUAAUUUUUAAUAUUUGUGUGUUUAAAUUUAAAAUUAACAGAUAUUGUGUUGGGGCGACCGGAAUAUAUUUUUAACUGUUCUUGUUUGGUAAAUAAAUGAUUUUUAGAGAGUUGAUCCUUUAUUAAGGAUUAUAAGAUUUAAGUUACUCCAGGGAUAACAGCGUAAUUCUUUUUGAGAGUUCUUAUCGACAAAAGUAUUUGCGACCUCCAUGUUGAAUUAAGGUUUCAUUAAGAUGCAGGUGUCUUAA